GCUCAACAGACACCAACCAAGCAUGAUCAGGUUCUGCCCUUCUGGCUAAAAUAUAUAAAUUCCUUUUAAAGGAAAACAGGAAUUGCCAAGACAAAAAAGGCAAGAAAACUUUCAUACUCUUUACUUUCACUGUUUUUGUUUGCAUUUGGAUUCUAUACUAUUUCUCCAUUUCAAUUUCAGGAAUUUAAUUCUUUAAGAAAGGUAUUGAAAAUUCAAGUGAAAGACCUGCAAGAGAGCUGUGCCACUUUCUUGUGUAACCUUGCUAUUCAUUUUGGGGUUUAUACAACACAGCGUUAUCUGUCAGUUGUGAGUGCAUGAAAAUAUUGUUGUCUGUUGUUUUGCUGUUAUUAACUUAAUUUUUGUAUUUUCCUCGGAAUUAUUGGAUCAGGAUCAGCAUAGCAAUUAGAACAACUUGGCCUUCUUUUGAUAUCUAAGUUCAAGCAAACUAAUUCUGUGUUUUGACUGAUUUUGUUUAGACCCUGUGUGAAUCCAAAGCUCAGGUUGUCUCACAUCAGAUCAACUUUGGGAAUUGAUGUGGUUAAUAAGGAAGAUAAUUGGCUUGUGAACUAAUCAGAAGUCAGCGAAAAAAACCAAUGUAUUUGAAUGUUAGGGAUCACAUGAUUAAUUGAUUAUUAUCCUGCUCUUUUUUCUAAUCCAGCUAAAACUUUUGCCAGCUUAAAUAAUAGUCUAGUACACAUUAAAGGCCCACUGAAUUAGUGCCAAAAAGGAUAAAGCUUUGCAUUCUUUGCCAUCAUUCUUGUUACUUAUAAAAGAUACAACAUCCUCUUCUCACUCAUAUGAUUGUUGAGGAAACACAAGAGAAACUUGACAUCAUCAAAUUCGAACCUAAAUAAAGUCUAGCUAGAAAGGGGAGAAGAAACCAAUGUCUCAAAUGGAGAGAGAUCUCAGCCGCCGCCGAUCCUUUUAUUUUUCCGGUUGCAUGAUGUCCCCAUCAUGCUUCCCUGUGCAUGAAGAAAUGGAGUACUCACGCAUUCACUAUAGAAGCAGCAGCAGUGACAAGACGAGGAGGAGAUGGAGAAAUCUGCUAAGGAGGUUGGUAAGGGAUGGCAAGAGCAGCAUAUAUGGAUCAAAACCUUUGUCUUUUCACUAUGAUGCUGUUAGCUAUUCACAGAAUUUUGAUGAUGGCUGUCAUCAUGAUGAAUCUGGCCAUGGCCGGCGAGUUUUUCAGGAUGUUAGAUGGGAAGUACAUGAGUAAUGUUGUGUUUGUUUAUGUGUUUUUUUUUAAGUUCAGAUCAUCUUUGUUGUAACUAUAUAUAUAUAUAUAUAUAUAUAUUAAGAUCUGCUAAUUAAGUUUCCAAGAAUCACAUUUCUGCCGAAUUACUGUUUCUGUUGCUUUGUUUUCUUCUUCUUCUUUCCCUCGAAAUGUUUAUGUUAGCUCUGAUGAUUAGAAAUAAUGGAUCUGUGCCUUGGAUGAUGACAUAUUGAAUCUGCGAGGGCCACUGGGGGUGCAUUUUUCAGGUUCCAGGACCGACUGAAAAACAACAGGAGCAAGACCUUCUUGUUCUUCUUAAUCUGCUUAACUAAAUUCUGAUCAUCAGUGAAGAGACAAAAUAACCUUCCAAGCUCCAUGACAAGACUAAUUAACGGUGAUUGAUAACUGCACACAUUGCAGAGAAUGUAAUUUCAAAUGUCAUCAGAGACCAUCAGAGUUGCAUGUGAAACUCUAGUUUUUCACAAGCUAAUACGCCAAGAUGGCAAGGAAAAGGAAGCUUCACCUGUCAAUAAAGGUCGCAGAAUUAUUGAAGGCAAAUUGUGGGGUAGAGCCGUGCAAGUUGCAUUGAGUAGGCCUGGAACUGCAUAUGAUCCGUAUGCUUGUCUGAGACUGAUCAGAGUGUGCUUUUGUGAUCAACACUGUUGAUAUAUAUAGCCAAGAAAACAUUGUCAUUUCAUUUGUAAUUUCACCAGUCAAGCUCUGUCUCUUUUUCUGUCGGGGGAAAUUUCCUUCUUAGAUAGAGAAGGCCUUUCCUCAUAAACAUUUCUGUGAUUAACACCAAUUUAUAGUUGUCCUAAUAAUCAUUUAAAAUCUCCUAAUAGAUGUUUAACAUGAAAAAUCAAAUAAUACAGCUUAGCACUGUCUCAAACAAA
Theobroma cacao (cacao) is the source of this 2106-nucleotide non-coding RNA. Lineage: Eukaryota; Viridiplantae; Streptophyta; Magnoliopsida; Malvales; Malvaceae. The record is from RefSeq and is a predicted model, not a curated record.